GGCCUUUUAGUAUAAUAGUGUAUAUAUGAUUUCCAAUCGUUAUGGUUACAGGGUCU
RNAcentral lists this transfer RNA (56 nucleotides) under Camallanus cotti. RNAcentral describes it as "tRNA-Gly". Lineage: Eukaryota; Metazoa; Nematoda; Chromadorea; Rhabditida; Camallanidae. The record is from RNAcentral.